Molecule: ribosomal RNA, 252 nt
Filed under: uncultured bacterium
Lineage: Bacteria
Description: partial 16S ribosomal RNA
Rfam family: Bacterial small subunit ribosomal RNA
Source: RNAcentral
UACAGAGGUCCCAAGCGUUGUUCGGAUUUACUGGGCGUAAAGGGUGCGUAGGCGGUCGGGCAAGUCUGCUGUGAAAUCUCACAGCUUAACUGUGAAACUGCAUUGGAUACUAUCCGGCUCGAGGAAUGGAGGGGAGACUGGAAUACUUGGUGUAGCAGUGAAAUGCGUAGAUAUCAAGAGAACACCAGUGGCGAAGGCGAGUCUCUGGACAAUUCCUGACGCUGAGGCACGAAAGCCAGGGGAGCAAACGGG